GUGCUCAUUUGAGCAGCACAUAUACUAAAAUUGGAAUGAUACAGGGAUGAUUAGCAUGGCCCCUGCGCAAGUAUGAAACGCAAAUCCAUGAAGCGUUCCAUUUUUUA
This is a small nuclear RNA of Psammomys obesus (fat sand rat), 107 nucleotides long. The record is from RefSeq and is a predicted model, not a curated record. NCBI's taxonomy places the organism in Eukaryota, Metazoa, Chordata, Mammalia, Rodentia, Muridae.